This 460-nucleotide ribosomal RNA is filed under the name uncultured bacterium. Its description in RNAcentral is "partial 16S ribosomal RNA". It matches the Rfam family "Bacterial small subunit ribosomal RNA", at positions 338 to 795 of the family's 1533-position model. The record is from RNAcentral.
CCUACGGGAGGCUGCAGUGAGGAAUAUUGGUCAAUGGACGAGAGUCUGAACCAGCCAAGUAGCGUGAAGGAUGACUGCCCUAUGGGUUGUAAACUUCUUUUAUAAAGGAAUAAAACGAGGCACGUGUGCCUUUUUGCAUGUACUUUAUGAAUAAGGAUCGGCUAACUCCGUGCCAGCAGCCGCGGUAAUACGGAGGAUCCGAGCGUUAUCCGGAUUUAUUGGGUUUAAAGGGAGCGUAGAUGGGUUGUUAAGUCAGUUGUGAAAGUUUGCGGCUCAACCGUAAAAUUGCAAUUGAUACUGGCAGUCUAGAGUACAGUUGAGGUAGGCGGAAUUCGUGGUGUAGCGGUGAAAUGCGUAGAUAUCACGAAGAACCCCGAUUGCGAAGGCAGCUUACUAAACUGUGACUGACAUUGAUGCUCGAAAGUGUGGGUAUCAAACAGGAUUAGAUACCCCAGUAGUC